AGGAGCAGGACAGGGGUAUUUGUGUUUGAGGUGGAUCCUGGACUGACUUAAAUUCAAAAAGUGAUCUUGUGCUUAAAAAGGCUGGAGACCUCUGAUACAGGGCCUAAUAUGUGCAAGAGAACAUGGUUUUAGAAUACCAAGUACUAUUAGAAGAAUACUGUCAGUGCUAAAUUUAUUUUGUAACCUUCUUACAUGCAAAGCGCUCAGACCAUAUUGAACUGUGUUGUUCUUUUUGAGACCAUGGCAGGCCUGCAUUACUAGAAUCUUCCCUUUACCUGACCUCUUCAAGACUGGCUUCCCACUGCUUAUUGCUUCCUCAGAAUUUUAGUGCAGUUAGAAGCUUUUAUGCACUGCUGCAGAUUCCCGGCCUAUGCAAUCCAACUCUUACGUUUCCAUCCAUUUCUUACUCCACAUGUUUGUUUACACUUUAUCUUAAACUUUGGCAUCACGAUUAUAUUUUUUCUUAAUGUGGGUACUUAUUGUGAGGAGCUAUAAAAAGAAAAUUCAGAAUGCUCAGAACUAAUGUCAACCAACCUGGAAGUAACUGUGUCUCAUGAGGACUUAGCGGUUGGACUGCGUGAGUAGGCUUACUGCAGCUAUAAAAUUGUAAACCAGACUCAUGUUUCACAUAUGUUCAUCAGAUGAGAUUUUGGCCUGUACGGAUGGGAAAAGGCCGAAGAUCAUUGAAUGAUCUUCCAUGUAUUGUAUGGAGCUAGAAAUGAAAGUCAUUCAAGCCAAGUCAUUGGAACCAAGAAUAUUGAAUAAAUGAAGCCUUUAGUAAUUGGUCUCUGAAGUAACUUUGUUUGUUCUUUCACCUUGGUAAGGACCCCUGUUUCAUUUAAUACUCAGAAGGUACCUGCCCUGGAGAUGAAUUAGGGUUAUGUGGUAAAAGGCUGUUUCCUUGAACCCUGCCUCGUUUGCUGCAGAAGCUGGAAGGUGUGUAGUGAUUAAGGCAGGGGACUGCAGGAAGAGAGGGGUGAUAUCAUGGUUAAGGUAGUUUAAUGCUGCCUUGGGUACUAUAAUCUGUCCCUACCUUUGCCAGCAUUGUCACUGGACACUUGAUGUUGGGAAAGUAACUGAGUGCCUGACUUGAUAUGCAGGGGUCAGGCUUGAUAUGUACACUCUAUUCUGCUGCAACUGGAAUCAAUGGGAGCUGAGCUUAGAAUGGCCUAAAUUAGGGUUGGGCGAUAAGUGGCUCAUGGGCUGGAUGUGGUUCACAAGAGUUUUAUGUGCACAUCUGCAGGUACGACCACUUGCUGCUCCUGUGGGCUAUGGAUCGCCAUUCCCAACCAAUGGGAGCUGCAAACAGCUGGACCAGUGGACGUGCAGGUGAAAGUCCUUAUGGAGAAAGAUGAUGGACAAGGCCAUGGCUGUUCCAGAUACCCUGAGCUUCUCAAGAGGUGGAAAAAUUGUCCAUUUUGAUAACCUGUCAGUAAAUGUUCAAAGACAGUCACAAGAGGAGCAAGAUAAACACUUUAGCAUGGCAGAUCCAAUACAGACUACUUGAUCCUUCCUGGAUUUGAUGAAUCUGGUUACGAUCUGACGUUACCUGAAAGAAGCAAUCUUGGGAGACUUUGUGCUGCAUGUAUCCGGGCUGCAGGUUCCUUUAUGACUGAGAGAUCCUGGCAGUCUGCCCAGUAUGAGGAUGGAAACCACAAAGAACUUUGCUGACUCUUUCUGUGCCAUCAGAACAACUCAGCACCAUGCACAUCAGUUAGUACUAAAAGAGCGGCUCUGUUUGUUUUCAUUGAAUCUUUAUUGGAAACUUCAACAUGCACCAUAAUGCAGUUUCUUUUUUAAAAACACUUAACAGAGCAAGAAACAAGGUGUGGGAAGGACAGAAAUAUACUUGUCAAUUUUCCUAAGUCAGCCUUUCUGAGAUUUAAAUCCAAUUCACAGCUAGUUACAAAGUCUGACCUUUUUUGUCCUUUUCUUUCAGAGAGAAAAUGGCUUUUCAAUUCUGCCAGAAUCCUAGUUAUUGUCUCAGACCAGUGGAGUGGAAAUUUGAAUUUGAUUAUUUAUAUUCUAAAUCAUCUGUGUAAAUGCAUAUUGUAUUAUCUAUAACUUUUUUUAAAGUUUCCAACUCCAUCAUGAUAUAGAGGGAAUAAGAUAUAUACUCCCAACAUACAAAGGUGUAUAUGGGUGGGGCAAAGGGGUUGUGUGAGUGUAUCUAUGCCAUAGCUUCUUGCUAAAUGGGAAAUUGGAUGUUAGCGAGAGACAGCAUGCAAAGCGGCCUAAUAAAAGAUAUAACAUUUGGCGAGAGAAAACAGGCUGUUUUAUAAAGGGGUUCAGCACCUUUUAAUCUGCAUGACAAUGAUCUCGUCUGAGCUUUCCCUUGACCAUGCUGAGUUUGUGUCAGUGUCAAAAGCACUUGCAGACACAGUGAAGUGCAUUUCCGCUGUGGGCCCCAAUACAUCUGCAGACCCCUACCAUCUGCACUCAUUGUAUGCUCUGCAACCUCACCAAGCAUGCAUGGCUAAGCUAACAACUUCACACUCUGUGCUAAAUCACAUGUGUUGGCUUUAAAGGAGACGAUGGUACAAAUGGCCCUUUUGAAGAGCAACUUUUUAAAAACUGAAUUUUCUUUACAGCUGGUGACUCGAGCUGAUGGCCUGGCAGAAAUAGAUCACUUUUAAAUGGAACCUGUUUAGGAAUGGGCAAAAAAUGUGUCUACACAGCAAAAUUUGAAUCACUACUGAGCACGACUGCUGGUAAUUGAUUUGGCUGAGCUGCUACUGAGCAUGAUGUUGCUAACUACUGUAUCUCCUUUGGUCUGAAGAUGCCACUUGUGUAAUGAGAGAAGAGCCAAGUACAAGGUUAUCCAAUUUACCUGCCUAAAAGGUAAGUCCUGGUGAAAAUGACAGAGGGGGGGCUGCCUUCUGUGUGGCUAGUUCCUUGGAUAAAGAAAGAUGUUGGGAGGAUAUUCGUGUGGGGUUUGUCUUCUUCAUUGUUUUACCACAGCUUAGUCCACGGUUUUCUUUGAAACAGUAAGGAGCCAGAGAUGGGCCAUGUGGCAGCAGGCACUAGUGAGCAAGAAAUGAAUCUCCACUCUGCAGCCCCUCACAAUCACCACUGCUUGCACCCAGUACUUGGGGGAAAGUCUAUAUAUUCGCUGGUGGGGAGACAGAACGGAGAACUACUGCGUUGGCCUUUGCUGAAUCCAGAACUGGGUCUAACUUGACAUUAUCCUUUAAAGUGAGCCCUGGUGGCUGUGCUCUGUUUCAGCCAUGUAGGUCUCCUAACUUGCAGAGCUAAACCAGAACCUGGCUCAGAACACAGCACAUGGAGGAGAAGUGUAGCCUUAGAUCUGAACUACACAGCCGGCAAACGAGCAGCACAGCCAGAACUCUCUGCUUCGAUGCCACAAGAAACACUUGUUAAAUUGAAGCAGGGUUUUCCGGAGACCAGGUCCUUGCUGAGCUGGAUGGCCUCCUGUGUUGCUCGCAAAAUAAGGAGGAGCAGCAGCAGGUCAGGUCAGUGAAGGAGGAGCUACUUUUCAAAAUUAACUUAAAAGCAAUAUCUAAAAACCUGGGAAGGCUUUGAUCUUUCUAAAUAUUCCCUUUGUUCUAUCGUUCGACAGUUCGUGUGUGCUUCAAAGGUAAGGUAACAAUCCACCCUCUGUAGUCUUCCCUAAGCUGUGAUCAUAAACACAUCCCUGAAAUACAGUUUAAAUAACUGAGCCCUACAAACUUAGUCAAGUAAUGAAGAUCUUUCCACUGUUCUUCUUGUUAAGAAUAAUAAAGUUCUGUCCUCAUGGUUCUUCCUCCCUAUGAUGUAGUAUUGACUGUUCAAAGGCGUACUGUGAAGUUUCCAUAAAUAACAACUAAGUAGUGUUGCCUCCUCUAGCCAGAGACAGCACUGGCUUGGCCUACCUCAUGCUGCCCUCUUACUUAAUGGUAACAGUGCAGCAUAUGGGGGAGAGAAUAACCCCUCUGCUUUGGAGUCUUCUCCCUUAAGAAAAUCAUAAUGGCUCGCUCAGCCUGGGACUCUCUGGGGAAUGCUAGUUAAACCCAAUGAGAAAGCACAGGACUGCAGAAAGCACCCAAAUGCAUGGGACUGCAGAUGAGGGCACCUGCCACAUUCCCUGUGCAUGAAAUUCAGCCACAGAGCAGGGGACCAGCACAAGGCCUAUCUUUAAGCACUCUUUUGAGGACCUACGUGAUGUAUGAGUGCCCCUCUGCACAGGGAUGAACAUCUCCCCAUAUACCAUAGGCAAAGCACGUAACCAUUCUGUGAAAUCAGUGUGGGAAGUUGUUUGUGGGAUCACAUAUAGGAAGGUGAACACUAGUAAAGGAACUGGUGAUUUCCGUAAUCAGGGAGACAGCUUGGCCUAGUGGUUUUGACAUUGAACUAGGCCUCAGGAGCUCUGGGUUGGGUUCCCAGCACUGUCACUGGAUGAGCGUGGCCGAGUCCUUUCUCUGCACCUCAUUGUCCCCAUCUGUUACGCAGUGAUGUGCCUGACCUCCUUUGUAAAGCGCUUUGAUCUCCUGUACUGCAGGAGAGCGUCAGUAACCACUGUUGUUUUCAAACGAAAGAUGCCAGUGAAAUGUGUGGUGUUUUAUUAUUUUUUGAUUGAAAUACAAGAUUUAAUGAAAAGUUUCUAUUUCCCACGGUUGUUCUUUCCUCUCUGAGGAAGAAAACAAGCCAAACAAAGCAGCCUCACCAGUGUUAGAUAAGAGGGGUUUAGCGGGAAAUGCUGGUAAGAAAUGAAGGAAAUUAAUAGGCAGCAAUAAUUACACUGUAAGGCGCCCAAUUUGUAUUUCAAUAUGUCAUUUACAUAAUAACAAAGCUGAACCAUUUGGUAGCUAAUGACACAGGCUGAUCUCAAGGAUUUGUUUUCUUGCAAGUAAGUUCCUUUCAAUGGAAGCACUUUGAUGUCUGUCAGCAACACAUGCUCUUUUUGAGACAGUCUCUAUUUAGUUAUUGACACUGUGUCCAAGGACUGUUCCUCCCGCUUCUCAUGCUUAGAUAUUGACAAUGUGCCUAAGAGCUCUCUUCCCCUCCUUCCUCUCCUCUCUCUUCUCUGUUUCCAAGGCCAAGCUUGUGAGUCAAUAAUGGUAACUGGGCCAGGAAGGUGAAAGAGUCCAGACAUCUUCCUUGGACCCAGUCCUGUUUUGUGCUAUUAAUGAAAACGGUGGAUUUCUCAGCCCCUGGCCAAUGUGCCCUAUAAGCUGAGCCUUUGGGUGGCCACCUAGCAGCGAUUCAAAUGCCUCCCAGCUGAGUAGCAAAGUACACAUAGCCAGAAGCAUGUGUUUUUAAUCUGCACAUGCCUUAGUGCACAUAACAAAAUUUAUUCUGCACAUGGAUGGAAAAAUUUAGAGGUAACAUUGCCUCUGGCCUCUCUGGACCCUGUGUGGCAAUGUUAUUUCAUAGGUGCAGCAUCUGUGCCUUUCACAGCUCUGCCACUGACUCAUCUGCCAUGCAACAAGUAAAAAUCAUGACAUAUCUGGGCCUCUGUUUCCCCAUCUGUAGAAUGGGGAUAUUUGCCUUGGUAAAUCACUUUUUUGCAUAAAUGUACUCUGAGCAUUGGGUGCUGUUGUUAUUGGCCCAAAUCCUGAAGUGCUUUCUUACUUUGUGUUCAGUGCUUACUCAGGAAUAGUUCCCUUUGAUUUGAAUCGGAGUUAGUAAGAAUGACUGCCUUAUUUACACUGUUACUUGCUCACUGUAUAGUCAACAAGGCAAGUACAUAGCUUAAAUAACACUUGCACUUUAAAGGGGUUUUUAAAAAUUGAUAGAGGCUGAUGAAAAUGUGGGGAGACAGGUUUCUUCCUGCAUAUCUGGUGGGGAUACCCAUUCUUAGUUCUUGCAGCUCAGCAAUAACUCUCUUCCAAAGAUACUUGCACUAGUUCUUAAAGAAUUAGGCAUUGAGGGAACUGAAUUCCCAGCUCAUGAUGGCUUCAAUAUCCCACUGAAUACAAAAAGAAUAAUGGAUGUUGAAACUUUGAUGACCAAAAUACAAGACAUGGGAGUCCUGGAGCACCUGACACACUUGGAAGGAAAGCAUGAGGCAAACAGUCUCGAUGACUGGCUCCCUUUCAGAGAUUAUCCAACCAAGCAAAGCUUCAACUCCCCAGAAAGACUUGGAGCCAAACUGUGAUCUCAUUCACAUUGGUGUAAAUCAGGAGUAACUCCAGAGCAGACUCUGACCCUUAGUGCUGCCUUCUACUAUGAGACAUUUCAUUCCUAAACUAUUGUUACAAUUAAGGAAACAUGCCCCCAUUAUUUUCCUGAAGCCUUUAUCCUUUGGAAAUCCUUUUAAUUGUUCUUUGGUUGAUUUGAUGUUGUAUCUUUGUUGAAUUCCUAUUAACCUUAUAAAAUGAGCUUGCAAAAAAAAUGCAGAGCAGAGAGAUGGAUAAGCUCUCGGGGGAGGGAACUCUCUUUGCAUGUGUACAGUGUCUGGCAUAAAAGGGACUUUGAGCAUAGUGGGAGAUUUCUAUGACCUACAGUUAGGGAUGUUAAAAAGCAUUUAAUUAGGUAAACCUGUAACUGCUGAAGAUUUCAGCAGAUAUGGGGUAGGGGGAGGUGACAGGCGGGAGCUGGUGCACGCUGGCUUCUGCAUGUCCUCCCCAACUCUGAUGCCUCUAUUAGAGGCAGCAGCGCAUGAGGGCAGGUGCUCUGUGGGAGAAAGUGCACGAGGGGUGCUGGAGUAAAAGCUGGCUCCCCACGUGCACCGGUUUCCGCCUGCCCCACUGCGCUGCUGCCUCUGAUAAAGAGGCAGCAGCGUGCAUGGGGAGGAGGGUGCAUGUAACCAUACAUGUUAACUGAUGAGCCUAGACUCAUCAGUUAGCCAUGUAAACAGUUACACUUUCACAUCUCCUAAUUACAGUACAGAAAUAUGAAACAGAACUAAUGGAUAAACUGUCAGGUGAAGAUGCUUCUCACAUUAAAUGUGCUCCUGCCAUAAAUUCAACCCACCAAUAAAACCCUGCCACAACUAGAAGAGCAGAACACACAUGGACAUCAAGAUGAGACCGUCUGGAUUAGUUAAACUGCAUGCAUACAAUUGAAGGGGAAAUCUACAGAUUUUAGUGGUUUUUCUGUUUUGGGGUUUUAUUUUUUGUUUUUUUACAACCCUUGUACCAGGAGUUCACUUGCCUAAUUUGAGAUUUCUUAUGACAAUCAGCACAAACUAGUGGGAGACCCAUUUUGAUUUUUGUUUGAUCAGCCUGAAUACAGACCAAAUACAGCUCCUGAACAGGUUCCAAAUAGUAUAAGCAGCAUGUGCAGUAAGGGAUGUUUGUUAAACACUGUCCAGUGCUAACACACCAAUCCAGUUUUGUCCAUAAUGUUAACAGCAGAGGAUUGCUGGGAUCUUUUAAGUACAUUGUCUUUUGAGAAAACUGCUGUCAUUUGUUUUUCUUCUCAUCAUGGCUAGCUACCUCAGAGAGCAACAAAGUCCAGUCUGCCUCAUAUUAGGGACUGAAAGGAUGAGUGAGUCAGUUAAGACUUGUAUGUGGAUUCUCAUUUAUGAGAGGUCAAUGUGGAGAAAAAAAAUACCUUGGUCUGAAUUCACCACUCAUUCAGUGCAAUAACACCAAAGAGUAAUGUGCCUCCUUGAUACUGACUCCCUCUUUGACCUGUGAUGUCAUUUCACUUUCUUGCCUCAGUUGUUCCAUCUGUACAUUGGGCAGAAUAAUAAUUCCAACCCCCUCAAGCUAUUGUGAGGAUUAGUUAUUUAAAGGUUGUAAAUGCUUUGAAGGUAAAACAUUCUGUACAAGAGUUAAAUGUUAGUUGUGGAAACGUUUAGAAAAUGAAAGCAUUGUUAGUACAAUAUUUACAAAUCUUAAUAGUUCUCUCUCUUCCCUUUUCCUCAGGGGUCAGGAAGCAUUGUUCAAACUCUAUUGUAAUCUGUAUAAAUCCAGGUCUGUUGCUCUUACUUGUAUGAGUUACGCCUUUAAAACCACUGGGAUUAUAUGUGUCUAAGGGGUGUGGUUUCAGACCUAGCACUGUACAUAAAAAGAGCUGGGUUAAUCACUGCAGCAGCUUCCUUUACAAUCCUAAAGGAAAUUUGGUUUAAUGGGGUUGGCACAGUCUCAGUCAUCAUGGAACUGCAACCAGAGUUACCAUAUCAAAACACAGGGGAACGAGAGGCCAUUUGAUAUUUAAUCACGUGGGGCAGUCAGACAAAAUCGGAAGUGGCUUAGGAAAUGAUUAUCCAUUGCUGGGGUAUAAGCCAUUCCUUCCACACACUUUCUCCAGAACACAACCUCAUCAAUGUUCCAGAUGAUUUAGCUGUGCAUUGUAAAGCCUCCAGAAUGUCUCUUGUAACCCCUUUGCUGUAGGCUCUUCAGUCCACUUCACCUGUUGCUUGUGCUCCCUGGGAACCAACUGAAAUUGGUUAUUUGGAUCCAUGGAAGCCCACGGAAGGUUAGACUGAAGGAUGGGUCAGUUACAUCUUGUACCACUCAGUAUUUAUAUUGUGGUUUAGGCAAAGUUUCAGUACACCAGGCACAGGAUAGUACAUAAAGCAGGAAAACUAAUCUACAUUGCAAUAAAAAUUCAAAAAUCCACUGCAAGGGGUUUCAGGGAUUGCUACAGUUUGGAAGAAAGUGUCAGUUCAAAUUUAUCAAUGCCCAAUCAUAUUUUAAGGGGCAAAUUCAGAGCUAAUGCUAGCUUAUAUUACUCACCUGAGCAAGUUGUUUUCACUCUGACAACUCAGAUGAGUAAGGCAACUGGACUGGCCCUAAGGUAGUGUUGGAUACAGUGUGUGCUUUUUCUUCCUCCUUUUCUUGCUAAGGAAUUAAUUCUGCUACCAUUAGCAUUAGUGUGAAUGGCAGGUACAAAACUGAUAGCAUAAUUUGGCCCUUAAAUAUAUGGAUGCCACAAUGAUUGGACUUCGUAUAAGAGCUCAAGUACAUUGUGUGCAAAAUUGCUUGCUGAAAAUAGUCGGGGUUCUUCCUGCACUGAUAAUGCCAAAUGACCUUCUCUUUAUCCGCCAGCCCAGACUUGUUUUUAGACAGUGGCUCAAUCAAUGUAUUCCCAAGAGUGGUGUAAAAUUCACAUUUCAAUGGCUAGAGAACUAGAUUCUCCAUUUGGCCAAUUCCACCAGGGACAUGAUCUCCAGACUUCUGAUAUGUCAUUCUAUCUACCUAAAAAGAUAGCUGAUCCCAUCUGUGCCAUACGGAUCUACCCAGACUUGUUUGGAAUAACCAGCAGCUAAUUCAUCCACUGAAAAGAUAUAGCCGCCCACCUCCCAAUGGUGCAUUACAGCAUGAGGCUUCAGUGCUUUUCUUUUAAGGGUGGAAAUAGGCACAUCGUUAUUUAUUACCAGUAUUUCAGUACUGCCUAGGAACUCCAAUCAAGGAUCAGGUCCCAGGCAUGCUAGGCAUGGAAGGACUAGUAAUAAAGAUAACUAUACCUAAGUCCAGAGAGUACAAUCUACGUUGUCAGAAGGAACAAGACAAAUGGAGAUGAGGGAUUGUGAGAAUGAGGGGACCAUAAAAAGAAUGUAUCAUGAAAACAGAAGUCAGUUUGCCAUAUGCUUUAUCAGUGCCAGAUAGAGGUGGGUUUUUGGACAUCACAACAGAGGUAAGUUUCAAGGCAACAGGACAAAGGCCAGAACAAGAGCAUUGAACGUCCAUAUAGGCAAGAAUACCUGAGAAAUGUUAUGCAGGUUGAAGGGGCUUGAAUGUGGGCUAGGCAUGUGAUUAAAGGACCAUGUCCAAAAUGGCAUCCAGAUUAUGGCUCUGAGCGGUGUUUCCCCAUGAGCUGGGCACUUGUGUGGCCAGCUCAGGAGAGGUUCAAAUGCCACCCUGCUGAUUAGUAGAGCAACCACUGCUAGAUUUUUUUUUUGUUUCUAUUGCUAGUGCAUAUUCGCACAUGCCUUGG
Molecule: non-coding RNA, 9828 nt
Organism: Pelodiscus sinensis (Chinese soft-shelled turtle)
Lineage: Eukaryota; Metazoa; Chordata; Testudines; Trionychidae
Source: RefSeq, a predicted model, not a curated record